GUAAAGCGUUAGUUAGCCUAGCAGGUAAACGGACAACUAACCUAGUUAGCUGGGACACACUCUUUUUUUUCUCAACCACUUCGAUAGAGCUACGACCGGAAAUGAUAUUAAUAGCAGGUUAGGAGGGCAGUUUUGCUAACCAUAAUUAUUUUCAUAACCUUAUUAACAAAAUUGUCCUAACCUGCUACACUGAUUCUCAUAACCCGUUGCGUAAUAAUUUGUCCUAAUCUGCUACGAGAAAGGUAACUUCCGGUCGUAGCUGUAUCGAAGUGGCGUGAAGAGUGUUUCUCAUAGUUAGAUAGCUACAUCUCCAAAUACGAUGUAGGCAUUUGCAGGCACUUGGCUAGCUCAUUUAUAUAGGGGAAAUUACAUUAUCUGUCUAGCUCAUUUAGAAAUGAAUGUCAUCGGGGGGUUUUGAUUAGUUUGUCUUUUGUAGAGACAUUGGUGCAAAAUGGAUGUUGACGUUAAACUAGAGGAAGAUGAGAGGGAGAUAUCCCAAACAAUAAUUUGGUCUGAUUCGAUUAAUGCCUGGAUAGAUUACCCAAAUUCAACAUUGUCAGGAAACACAGAAACAGGUUACCAUGUGGGUUUACUGAAAGAUAAUUCACAUGUACAUCCCAUCAGUCCCCAAACAACAAGCCAAGGGCAGAUUUUACGUAUUUUUCCUGAAAUGACCGGAGCAAGUGAUGUGGAGAACAGGGCUGUCAAAGUGGUUUAUUUCUGUAAAGAUCAAGAUACCAUCGGCACAUCUGAAGUUAAUUCAAUCAAAGAGCGAUCGUGGCAUUUAGCACCAUCCAGUGAUAUUCUGACAGGACAUGCAUCCGCCUUCAGUGGUUAUUUUGAAGCUGAAAUCAACCCAACUUCGCAGGUUUCUUGCCAAACACAGACCCAGAUCAAUAAUGAAUUGCCCUCUGACAAUGUUAAUAUCCCAAGCCAUAGUACUGCCAUUCAUUCUGUGCUAACCUCACCUGCUACAGAAAGCGGCUGUAAUUUAGCUGUAUCUACUAGGCCUAUUCUUCCAGAAUAUUGUGAGCCAUUGAACUUUCCCUCUGAUGAAGAGGAAAACUACAAUGUCAAUUUAAGACAAAGACUACAAUGCCAGAAAACGUUAGAGGAUAAAUAUAUACGUCAGUGUCGUGGCAGUUACUCAAGACCAAACCUAAGAAAGUUUGGGAAAUACUGGAAAGAUCCAUACGCCAAGUGCAAGGAGAUGGGUGUAGAUUUCAAUGUUGGAUCAGGAGCGAAACAGAAACUUGAUUUGCAUUUACUGACAUUUGGUGUAAUGCUUGAGGUGUCAGAAUAUGCUAGAAACAUUAAUAGAUCUCGCCCUCAUGUUAUCUUUGAUAUUCUAGAUUACAACUUUGGUCUUGGUGUACAAAAUGAACAACAAUAUGACUUUUCAAACAAGAUAGAAAAGAAAUUAAAAGAAAUGCUGAAGAUGCAUUCCAAGAGAACACCUGCGUGGUUAACAGAAGUGUUUGAACUUCCUGAUCCAAAGACGGUUAAAGUUUUGGAAUACUCCCUUAAAUGGGCACAGUUCUAUUUACAAAACAGCUGGUCAAAUCCUACACCGUUUGACAUUUGCAUAAAGGAGGAGCCUGUUGUUGGCCUGAUCUCUCCUCUGCAUGUGACGACAGAGAGCUUCUCUACCGAGACAGAUGUAACACGAUGUGCUGAUGAGACUGCAAUCCUUGGCCCUGAAAAUGGACGUAAUGAUAUCUGCACAAGGUAUGAACCUGAUAUGGGCAUCGUCUAUCCUCAACAUGUCCAGGCGGACACCUUCACAUCUCAGACAGAUAUAACAAUGGGCCAAUCCUUAAUAAUGCCCACUGUAGAAGAAGCAUUGAGGGACCUCUACCCCAUCUGUAAGGAAAAAGGACUUGACAUUGUUGUGAAAUCAAAAUAUGGGAAAGCUGAGAAACUUGACUUGCAUCUAUUGACCAGAGAUGUAAUGUUUGAAUUGGCUGAUUUUGCCUCACAAGUGUGUGGAAAUUGGAAGCAGAUUGUGUGUGAGGUUCUCGAGCAUAAUUUUGAUUUGGAUUUAAAAAGUGGUAAAACUGAGCUGGCUGAAGAUAUUAUGGGAAGGUUAAGAGCAGUUUUGCAGCGCAAGACGGGUAAAAACGGUACAUGGAGAUGGGAACUUGAAAAUGAAGCUUUCUUCUUAAAGAAGUCACGCAAACGAAAGAAUCCUGCAGAGAUGUCCAGUAACCAGAAGGUCACUACAGCAUCACUUGAGCCAAAAUACCAAAUGAAAGAAGUAUCAAAAAGAAGGAGAUUGAAUUUAAUGAGGAAGAAGAAAGACAUGGACAUGUUUGUAACCAAGGAGACUGAGGGAGGCCAUUUUUUUGAAGUCAUACAAAUAGAACCUCAUUGUGUCAAAACAGAGAGAAUCUCUGAUGACACUGACCUUGCACUUUGUACUGAUGAAACAAAGCAAAUUGGUAACAACAAUGUAGACCAAUCAAAUGUGACGUCUCACACCAAAAAAAUGGUGAAAGCCGAAGCGUGCUACCCACUCUGUGAGGAAAUAGGCGUGGACCUUGAUGUUGCAUCCAAACCUUCUAAAAAUAAACUGGAAUUUCACUUACUGACAAACGGUGUAAUAUUUGAGGUGUAUAAAUAUGCUAAGAUAAAAUCCUAUCAUAAAAAAGAAAAAAGAUUUGGCUAUAUUCUCUUUGAUAUUCUAAAAUAUAAUUUUGAUCUUAGUUUGCAAAAUCAGAGACGUAAUCUAUUUCAACUGCGUAUUAACUGUAAAGUGAAAAGAAUGGUUCAGAAACACAAACCUGAGCUCUUGGGAAAAGGAGAAAUCUCUAAAGAAGUGUUCAUACUACCGAGUGUGAUUAAAAGCCAAGCAAAAAAAAAAACUGUGCUUUCAGAUUAUUUUCCUGAAAAAAAUAUAGAACAAGAUGCAAGGCUGGUUUAUCCUCAUCAUAGUAAAGACACUAUCGCUGUGGAGACAGUUGAAACAAUCUCCACUGAUGAAGCAGUAAUGCUUGGCCAGGAUAAUGGACCUGCUGACAUCUGCAUAAAGGAGGAGUCUGAUCUUCACUCUGAGGUCAAACUGGUUUAUUUCUGCAAAGACCAAGAAACUGUCAGAACAUCUGAAGAGCAUUUGAUCAAAGAUGGAUCAUGGCAUGGAUCAACACCCAGUAAUAUUCUGACUGGAAAUGUAUUCAGCCUUCCACAGUCGCCACUACCAGCUGCAGAAAGUGGUCCUUUCGGAAGUAAAAUCAAGUCAACAUCACAGAUAUAACCAGAAGGUCCCUGCAGCAUCACUUGAGCCAAAAUACCAUAGGCUCACAGAAGUAACAGGGGGAAAAAAGGGAUUUAAUGAGGAUAAAUAAAUGUUUAUAGCCAAGAAGGAAAAGAAAGUUGUCAGACAAGUAGAACCUCAUUGAGAUGAGAUGGAGAGCAUCUGCCAAGGAAAAGAAAAGCACUUCCUGACUGAGCUCUCAGGGAAAAGAAAAGCACUUCCUGACUGAGCUCUCAGGGAAAAGAAAAGCACUUCCUGACUGAGAUCUCAGGGAAAAGAAAAGCACUUCCUGACUGAGCUCUCAGGGAAAAGAAAAGCACUUCCUGACAGAUCUCAGGGAAAAGAAAAGCACUUCCUGACUGAGAUCUCAGGGAAAAGAAAAGCACUUCCUGACUGAGCUCUCAGGGAAAAGAAAAGCACUUCCUGACUGAGAUCUCAGGGAAAAGAAAAGCACUUCCUGACUGAGCUCUCAGGGAAAAGAAAAGCACUUCCUGACUGAGCUCUCAGGGAAAAGAAAAGCACUUCCUGACUGAGCUCUCAGGGAAAAGAAAAGCACUUCCUGACUGAGAUCUCAGGGGAAAAAAAGAUGCAAGAUGGAAAGAAAAGUCUGAUCUGCUCCCUAGGGAAAAGCCAGUUUCUUAUUUGCCUGGGGGAAAAAAAGAUUGAUAUUGUUAUAUGUGAUGAAGUGCAACACGAGGUGGAUUCUUACUGAACUUUCAAAAUGCUUUGUAGUUGAGACUGGUUCUGAGAAGAAAUGCUAACAAAUCCUUGCUGAAUACAGAUCAGACAUCCUAGGAUUUGGGGGCUAUUAUAUUGGUCUUUUGGAUCAUACUUGGAAUGUGAAAAGGUUCCUAAUGUUAGUUUUAGGUCUCCCUGAAGUCCGUAGACUUCCAUUCUAUUACUCACCCUAGAACAGUCAACAAGCCUAACACGGAUGUGUAUUCAUUAGGCAUACUGUAGCUAAAUGUUUCAUGGGGAGUCAACAAACCUAACACAGAUGUGUAUUCAUUAGGCAUACUGUAGCUAAAUGUUUCAUGGGGAGUCAACAAGCCUAACACAGAUGUGUAUUCAUUAGGCAUACUGUAGCUAAAUGUUUCAUGGGGAGGCUACACUAACGCUUCUUGGACCAAUUCAGAAAUUGGUACACAAGGAGUAGCCUAGUCUUUUUAGGAUUAAGUGAAAAUAGGGAGACAAUAUAUUUUAAACGUAUUCGUAUUAAGGGUUUUAGUCUUUUGAAUAGUGGAUUUUUGCAGAUUGCCUUGGCCUUCCUUCCUGUUUAACUGUUGAUGUCUGGUCUCGCUGUAGAGAAUGAAUACAGCAGGAUUAUUGCGAGACUUAUUUUUUUUCUCUUAACUAUUUUACACCGUAUUCAUUGAUGAGACAAACUCGACUACUUUUACAAGCCUCUAUAUAGAAGAAAACUUCUGAUCUUUUUUUGUUUAGAAAUAAAAAGACAAACAGAUAUAUUUUAUUUUGUAAGAGUAUGCAUUAGUGAAAUAACCUACUAUGAUGGGUCAUGUUUUUAUCUUUUUUUUUUAUCAGUGGGCUAUUUUGAUUUUUUUUUUUUUGCCCUUUUUUUGUGGAAAGGUUAAGAGACUGCAUCAAGACCUGCCUUACUGUUACCCACAUGUUCCUGUUUUGAACAUGGAGCUAUUCUACCACAUGGCGUAUGAAUCAGAAUCCGUAGCUAGUUAUGACACGUGAGCUUCUGGAUGAAAAGCAGAGUAUCCCUAAAGCAGCGUGGUCGUAUCAUCCCUUCUCCAUGUUGGACUAAACACUUUCAACUCUACACAAGUGAAAACCCCAAAUCCCUAAAGUGGUGGAGAAGGAGGCCACCUACAGAAUGUUAGGAGCAGUGGCUUGUUCCCAGGAGACCAACACUUGAGGACGCAACUUCUGUCAUGAUGACGAGGUGGCAUCUCCGCUGAUCCUCUAUUUGCCAUACUAGAGGGACAUGAAGUCUGACUCCAUCUUCAACAUGUGGACCUGCCCUGAUGAUGUUGGACACCACUGUUACACCUUCAGCCAUGUUGAUUUCCUGUCAGACUGGGUUUUUUAUUUUUUACUCCUUUCCAUGGACGGACUGACCUUUUACCAGAACAGGAAUACAAUGUUUAUCAGACCCUCCUCACCAGUGGACUAACUACUCAAACUGGUCGUGAAGUCACAGGAAAUAGACUGAUCUGUUAGGAGGGAUGCAGCAUUCUAAUCCUGGUUAGAUUAUAGUUAUAAGGAGAGUUCAGGUAGUAACCAGUACAUUGAGAUAAAUGUAGAUGUCCACACUCUGGACAAUAUAAAAGGCUUUGGAGAGGGACCACGUUUUCAGGAGAAGGAUAACAGGACCUUGUCCAGAAACAACCCCCAGCUCUGUAUGCAACUGUAUGCA
This 5639-nucleotide long non-coding RNA is filed under the name Salmo salar (Atlantic salmon). RNAcentral describes it as "lncRNA (ENSSSAG00000114690.1, ENSSSAG00000119304.1)". Lineage: Eukaryota; Metazoa; Chordata; Actinopteri; Salmoniformes; Salmonidae. The record is from RNAcentral.